CGAGGUGUAGCGCAGUUGGGAGCGCGCCAGUUUUGGGAACUGGAUGUCGCAGGUUCGAACCCUGUCACCUCGA
RNAcentral lists this transfer RNA (73 nucleotides) under Oscillospiraceae bacterium. RNAcentral's name for it is "tRNA-Pro". It matches the Rfam family "tRNA". Rfam says of the family: Transfer RNA (tRNA) molecules are approximately 80 nucleotides in length. Their secondary structure includes four short double-helical elements and three loops (D, anti-codon, and T loops). Further hydrogen bonds mediate the characteristic L-shaped molecular structure. tRNAs have two regions of fundamental functional importance: the anti-codon, which is responsible for specific mRNA codon recognition, and the 3' end, to which the tRNAs corresponding amino acid is attached (by aminoacyl-tRNA synthetases). tRNAs cope with the degeneracy of the genetic code in two manners: having more than one tRNA (with a specific anti-codon) for a particular amino acid; and 'wobble' base-pairing, i.e. permitting non-standard base-pairing at the 3rd anti-codon position. The record is from RNAcentral. Lineage: Bacteria; Bacillati; Bacillota; Clostridia; Eubacteriales; Oscillospiraceae.